RNAcentral lists this ribosomal RNA (790 nucleotides) under Platygyra ryukyuensis. RNAcentral describes it as "partial large subunit ribosomal RNA". Lineage: Eukaryota; Metazoa; Cnidaria; Anthozoa; Scleractinia; Merulinidae. The record is from RNAcentral.
CCCGCUGAAUUUAAGCAUAUUAAUAAGCGGAGGAAAAGAAACUAACAAGGAUUCCCUCAGUAACGGCGAGUGAAGCGGGAAGAGCUCAAAUUUGAAAUCUCCGAUGCUUGCAUCGGCGAGUUGUAGUUGCGAGAAGCACUUUCUAGGCGGAUCGACGGUGCCUAAGUUGCUUGGAACRGCACGUCGCAGAGGGUGACAACCCCGUCUGUGGCGCCGCCGGCCGCCGACGAUGUGCUUUCGAAGAGUCGGGUUGUUUGGGAAUGCAGCCCAAAACGGGUGGUAAACUCCAUCUAAAGCUAAAUACUGGCGUGAGACCGAUAGCGAACAAGUACCGUGAGGGAAAGAUGAAAAGAACUUUGAAAAGAGAGUUAAAAAGUACGUGAAACCGUCGAAAGGGAAACGAAUGGACUCAGCAAUGCGCCCUCUGAGAUUCAGCCGGUGGGUGGCGGCGGCGCCGGGUUUGCGGAUCUGAAUGGACCGCGGCCUGGCGCCCGCCUCKUCCCGCCGUCGCACUUCUCUGGGGCGCGCGUCAACGUGGGUUGGGACUGGGUCUGAAAGGCGCCGGGAAGGUAGGUGUGGGCCUUCGGGUCCGUUCUGUUACAGCCCGGUUCUCUCAUGGCUCGGGCCCGACCGAGGAGCGACACGGGGCAUGCCUCCUGUGGCUAGGGUCCCGCCCUUCCGGCCGGCUGUCCAGUGCGGUGGACUGCUUGCAGUGCUCCGCGRCGGCUGCCGGUCGUUGSGGUGGUGAUCUCGUACCAUGCCCCUAGGAUGUUGGCGGUCAUAUGGGUGC